UACAGAGGUCUCAAGCGUUGUUCGGAUUCAUUGGGCGUAAAGGGUGCGUAGGCGGCGCGGUAAGUCGGGUGUGAAAUCUCGGAGCUUAACUCCGAAACUGCAUUCGAUACUGCCGUGCUUGAGGACUGGAGAGGAGACUGGAAUUUACGGUGUAGCGGUGAAAUGCGUAGAUAUCGUAAGGAAGACCAGUGGCGAAGGCGAGUCUCUGGACAGUUACUGACGCUGAGGCACGAAGGCCGGGGGAGCAAACGGG
Molecule: ribosomal RNA, 253 nt
Filed under: uncultured bacterium
Lineage: Bacteria
Description: partial 16S ribosomal RNA
Rfam family: Bacterial small subunit ribosomal RNA
Source: RNAcentral